UGGGGAAUCUUGCACAAUGGGCGAAAGCCUGAUGCAGCAACGCCGCGUGCGGGAAGAAGGCCCUCGGGUUGUAAACCGCUUUCAGAAGGAACGAAACUGACGGUACCUUCAGAAGAAGGUGCGGCCAACUACGUGCCAGCAGCCGCGGUGACACGUAGGCACCAAGCGUUGUCCGGAUUUAUUGGGCGUAAAGAGCUCGUAGGCGGUUCAGUAAGUCGGGUGUGAAAACUUUGGGCUUAACCCAAAGCGUGCAUCUGAUACUGCUGUGACUUGAGUACGGUAGGGGAGCGGGGAAUUCCUAGUGUAGCGGUGAAAUGCGCAGAUAUUAGGAGGAACACCGGUGGCGAAGGCGCCGCUCUGGGCCGAAACUGACGCUGAGGAGCGAAAGCAUGGGUAGCAAACAGGAUUAGAUACCCACGUAGUCCCUGAGCGGGCUGGCAAGGCGCAU
RNAcentral lists this ribosomal RNA (448 nucleotides) under uncultured bacterium. RNAcentral's name for it is "bacterial SSU rRNA". It matches the Rfam family "Bacterial small subunit ribosomal RNA", at positions 355 to 825 of the family's 1533-position model. The record is from RNAcentral.